AGACAACCAGGAGGUUGGCUUAGAAGCAGCCAUCCUUUAAAGAUAGCGUAACAGCUCACUGGUCAAGCGAUCCUGCGGCGAAGAUGUACCGGGUCUAAAACUAUGCACCGAAGCUUAGGGUUUGCAGUUUACUGCAAGCGGUAGCGGAGCGUUCCGUAAGCCUGUGAAGCCAUACCUGUGAGGGGUGGUGGAGGUAUCGGAAGUGCGAAUGAUGACAUGAGUAGCGACAAAAAGUGUGAGAGACACUUUCGCCGAAAGUCCAAGGGUUCCUGCGCAAGGCUAAUCCGCGCAGGGUAAGCCGGCCCCUAAGCCGAGGGCGAAA
Molecule: ribosomal RNA, 322 nt
Filed under: uncultured Vexilliferidae
Lineage: Eukaryota; Discosea; Flabellinia; Dactylopodida; Vexilliferidae
Description: partial Bacterial large subunit ribosomal RNA
Rfam family: Bacterial large subunit ribosomal RNA
Source: RNAcentral